RNAcentral lists this ribosomal RNA (612 nucleotides) under uncultured bacterium. RNAcentral describes it as "bacterial SSU rRNA". It matches the Rfam family "Bacterial small subunit ribosomal RNA", at positions 8 to 612 of the family's 1533-position model. The record is from RNAcentral.
AGAGUUUGAUCCUGGCUCAGAUUGAACGCUGGCGGUAUGCUUAACACAUGCAAGUCGAACGGUAACAGGAAAAGCUUGCUUUUCGCUGACGAGUGGCGGACGGGUGCGUAAUGCGUAGGAAUCUGCCUAGUAGUGGGGGACAACUCGGAGAAAUUCGAGCUAAUACCGCAUAAGCCCUACGGGGGAAAACGGGGGAUCUUCUGACCUCGUGCUAUUAGAUGAGCCUACGUUAGAUUAGCUUGUUGGUGAGGUAAAAGCUCACCAAGGCGACGAUCUAUAGCUGGUCUGAGAGGAUGAUCAGCCACACUGGGACUGAGGCACGGCCCAGACUCCUACGGGAGGCAGCAGUGGGGAAUAUUGGACAAUGGGCGAAAGCCUGAUCCAGCAAUACCGCGUGUGUGAAGAAGGCCUGAGGGUUGUAAAGCACUUUCAAUUGGGAGGAAUACCUAAUGGUUAAUAGCCAUUAGAUUGACAUUACCUUUAGAAGAAGCACCGGCUAACUCCGUGCCAGCAGCCGCGGUAAUACGGAGGGUGCAAGCGUUAAUCGGAAUUACUGGGCGUAAAGCGUUCGUAGGCGGUUUGUUAAGUUAGAUGUGAAAGCCCCGGGCUUAA